GCUUAGGAAUCUACCGAGUAGUGGGGGAUAGCCAUUGGAAACGAUGAUUAAUACCGCAUACGCCCUACGGGGGAAGGCAGGGAGUCUUCGGACCUUGCGCUAUUUGAUGAGCCUGAGUGAGAUUAGCUAGUUGGUGGGGUAAAGGCCUACCAAGGCGACGAUCUAUAGCUGGUCUGAGAGGAUGAUCAGCCACACUGGGACUGAGACACGGCCCAGACUCCUACGGGAGGCAGCAGUGGGGAAUAUUGCACAAUGGGCGCAAGCCUGAUGCAGCCAUGCCGCGUGAAUGAUGAAGGCCUU
This 300-nucleotide ribosomal RNA is filed under the name uncultured Oleispira sp. RNAcentral describes it as "bacterial SSU rRNA". It matches the Rfam family "Bacterial small subunit ribosomal RNA", at positions 115 to 418 of the family's 1533-position model. Lineage: Bacteria; Pseudomonadati; Pseudomonadota; Gammaproteobacteria; Oceanospirillales; Oceanospirillaceae. The record is from RNAcentral.